RNAcentral lists this transfer RNA (74 nucleotides) under Solirubrobacterales bacterium. Its description in RNAcentral is "tRNA-Arg". It matches the Rfam family "tRNA". From Rfam's summary of the family: Transfer RNA (tRNA) molecules are approximately 80 nucleotides in length. Their secondary structure includes four short double-helical elements and three loops (D, anti-codon, and T loops). The record is from RNAcentral. Lineage: Bacteria; Bacillati; Actinomycetota; Thermoleophilia; Solirubrobacterales. RNAcentral also lists the same sequence under 1 other name.
GCCCCCGUAGCUCAGCUGGAUAGAGCGGCGGACUUCUAAUCCGCAGGUCCCAGGUUCGAAUCCUGGCGGGGGCG